GAGUUUGAUCAUGGCUCAGAACGAACGCUGGCGGCAGGCUUAACACAUGCAAGUCGAACGCGUGUAGCAAUACACGAGUGGCGCACGGGUGAGUAACACGUGGAUAUCUGCCUUUUGGUUCGGAAUAACCCUGGGAAACUAGGGCUAAUACCGGAUGGUUCCUACGGGAUAAAGAUUUAUCGCCAAAAGAUGAGUCCGCGUCCGAUUAGCUAGUUGGUGAGGUAAUGGCUCACCAAGGCGACGAUCGGUAGCUGGUCUGAGAGGACGAUCAGCCACACUGGGACUGAGACACGGCCCAGACUCCUACGGGAGGCAGCAGUGGGGAAUAUUGGACAAUGGGGGCAACCCUGAUCCAGCCAUGCCGCGUGAGUGAUGAAGGCCUUCGGGUUGUAAA
RNAcentral lists this ribosomal RNA (394 nucleotides) under uncultured Alphaproteobacteria bacterium. Its description in RNAcentral is "bacterial SSU rRNA". It matches the Rfam family "Bacterial small subunit ribosomal RNA", at positions 9 to 429 of the family's 1533-position model. Lineage: Bacteria; Pseudomonadati; Pseudomonadota; Alphaproteobacteria. The record is from RNAcentral.